CCAGGCGCCGCUGGCUCUGUUCCUCACAAAAGGACACGUCACACCCUGGCAAUCGCCAGAGCCUUGGACUUGGGGACUUUGGAUUUAGGUCAAUGUAAGUAUGGUAUUAAUUUAAAUAGCCGCAGCAGGAAAUGUUCCAGUCCCUCAGACCCAUUUUUGGUCACCGGUAGCUCCUCAUUAAACCUACAACACCCCAUUUUUGGGGAUGGGGAGAGAGGUCUUGACCCCAGCAAGCAUGUGCUCAGCACCGUCCUCUGUGACGCAGCCGAAAGCCCAGCGCUGGCCGUGGUCGCCACCGUGACGUGGCUGCAGGCCUGGGCAGUACCGAACCUGCGCGGGCGGUGGGCACCUCCACGCUAUCGGCAAGUCACGGCUUUGAUGUGUCGCUACGGUCGCUUGCCAGAAAUCAGGCCGUUCCCCUUUGCGGUCCGAGCGGUCGUUGUCCGCCCUCUCGGCAAACACUCCUCGCAGGCUGUGUGCCAGACAUCCCCCCUCCAGAGCUGCUUUUGCUUGAAUCCCAACCUUCUGCUCCGCUCACGAGCCCAAAAUUACGUGGCCACCACCCUCCCACCCUUUUCCCCGUUACCCGCUGCAGGGCUCGGCUGUAAAUGGAGAGCUCGAGUCCUGUUUCAGCACGUGCGAACCGAAACAACCGGAGCAGCAGCUAAAGUCCUGCCCUUGACUUCGCUGAAACCUAGUCAGGUGUCACUCGGCAAAGGAUGUUUCCCAGCGCUGGGCGGUGACACGCAUUGUUAGCGAGGCCAGCCUGAAUCAAGAAAAACAAGUGAAAUGACACCCGGCGAUCGCUUCUUGCUGGCAACACCAGACAUUGUACUUUGACGAGUUAAUAAACAUCUCCCUUGGGAAUUAAGGAGCUCCA
RNAcentral lists this long non-coding RNA (880 nucleotides) under Struthio camelus australis. Its description in RNAcentral is "lncRNA (ENSSCUG00000000810.1)". The record is from RNAcentral. Lineage: Eukaryota; Metazoa; Chordata; Aves; Struthioniformes; Struthionidae.